This 3332-nucleotide unclassified non-coding RNA is filed under the name Polistes fuscatus (common paper wasp). Its description in RNAcentral is "probable G-protein coupled receptor CG31760, transcript variant X6". Lineage: Eukaryota; Metazoa; Arthropoda; Insecta; Hymenoptera; Vespidae. The record is from RNAcentral.
UUCGAUUCGAUCAACCGUCACGUUUCUACGACACUUUUAAAUGCGAAGAUAAAAAUCUUCAAUUUAUCGCGUUCGCGUGUGUAUUAUUCAACGUCGAGAAAUGGAUCUUAUCACCAACAUAAUCUUCCACGAUGAUAGUUUUUUAAUAGUUUCAUGAUAUUCGAUUUGGAACACUUUAUCCUCCAUGUUAAACAAAGUAUUUACCUGUUGGGCACUACUUUUUGACUAUACCGAGUUAAAAGGGAACGAGCUUAGGCUCGAACAAAUGGCACCUUUCCAACUUAUAUCGUUCGUUAUUUCGUCUAAUAAUUGCCGAGGAUAAAUAAUCAAAAUAGAAGAAUUCACGUAUCUUUGAUAUCUCGUGAUAAAGGGAAAAAAUAAACGUUUUUACGCUAGGAAAGGAAGGUGGUAUUGGUGAUAGUGGAAAAAUGUCGAGAAUAUUAUUAAAAGGAUUGUACCUGCGAACCACGGAGCCGGGCCUGAAGCUCGGCACCACUUGAACGUCAAUCGUCAGAAGGACAAAUGAGCAGGACGCGGGAUGGGCAAGUCCUGGCUCUUCGUUCUAUUUCCUGCGACGAUGACGACGAUGACGACGAUGACGAUGAUGGCAUACGUCACGAUGGCGGGUGCUGGUACAACAACGACGCCAUCGUUCUUUACGGCCACGACCAUGGUCGUAAAGAAUUUCAUGGAAAGCAAAAAAGCGGAUAUAGAAAAAGCUUUGGACGUGAUCGAGGCAGCAUCCAGCGGAUCAUUGGGAGAAGAAUGUGUGGAUACAGCAGGUUUCAAAUCUUUGCCAGCUGGCGCAUCCCUUGAUCCACGUCGUUACGACACGGCACGUCAGAAAACGGAUAUGACUGCCAUGAUGCUACAAAACCUCGGCACUUCCGGUAUAUCACGGUACAACGGAUUAUUGGACGUCUUAGCAAAAUCUUUGCUUCUUUCGGUGAACGAUGCUGUUGAAGCAAGGGUGAUUGCAUUGAAUGCAUCGACCAAAACUGUGAUCAACGCUGUCUGGCUCAAAAGGAGUCCAGGAAGCGUCGGUGAACCGAUCAAGGUCGAAGAUCAUGCUCUACAACCAGGAUCCAGGCCGAAUUCUAAUCUACCUUGGUUUGAAGAUACUGGUGCCAGCUCGGGAUUAAGGUCACCGAAGUUCAUGCAGUCACCGGCGAUUGAAUCCUACAGGGGUUGGUGGACCAUCCCGUAUUUCUCCUGCAAGACUCGCCAAUGGCUCAUCUCCUACAGCGUCAACGUGCGUCCACCGGAUUCUCGACUCGGUGUGCGAGAAUUUUUGAGCAUGGAUAUUGAUAUCAGCGGCUUGGAGGUGAAUCAAUGCAAUGCAUCCCCCUAUGGCGAUAGUACAUCGUCGAGUAAUCAAAUAGCAUCCUUUAGAGGCACCCACAAGUGUCACGACGAUACCACCCAGUGCGAGUAUUAUAGUCCUAAUGGUAAGAUCAACGAACACGGUGUUGGUGCUGGAUGGGCUAAGGGUGCUUACAUUUGCAAAUGUCGACAAGGUUUCUACGGUAGGAAUCAUCAACAGACCGGCUUCGAUGGGAUUCUCGUUGAAGCGGCAUGGAAAGAAAUGCAAGAAAAUAUAAGCAACUCUUAUGUCAAAGAAUUUCAAUGUUUACGCUGUGCUCCAGGAUGUGCCAAGUGUAAAGGACCCGAGCCCUGUUUGGCUACGUACCAUUGGCCCUUUAGGAUUACGUUAUUGGCUUUUUCUAUUUUUUGCGUCUUCGGUACCGUCGUCCUAGUGGCCUACAUGUACCAACACCGUAAACUCAAAGUAUUCAAAGUAGCCUCACCUAUAUUUUUAUCCAUCACGCUUUUGGGUUGCGCCAUUAUGUAUUUGGAGAUGGCAGCAAUAUUCCCAGUAUUGGAUAUGUACUCGUGCAUAGCCACAAAGUGGACAAGGCAUCUCGGCUUUUGUAUUUCUUACACCGCGUUGUUGAUGAAGACUUGGAGAGUAUCACUGACCUAUCGGGUUAAAAGUGCACACAAGGUGAAACUAACGGAUAAACAAUUGUUACAAUGGAUGGUACCGAUAUUAUUGGUUAUGUUAAUAUACCUUGGUACGUGGACACUCAGUGCACCACCUUACGCAGAAGUGAUCGCCGAUAAAUACGGUCUGAAAUUUUAUCAAUGCUCAUUCAAUUGGUGGGAUCAUAGUCUGGCCAUUGGAACUCUAUCGGCCGUUUCGUUUCAAGGAGAGAUUCUAUUUCUCGCAUGGGGCAUAAAAGUCUGUUACAACGUUCGAAACGCCGAGAGUCUCUUCAACGAGGCUAGGCUGAUAAGCUACGCCAUUUAUAACAUAGCUGCAGUUAACAUCGUCAUGAUCUCCAUACACCUCUUCAUCUUCCCACACGCUGGACCGGACAUCAAAUAUUUGUUGGGUUUCCUUCGUACUCAGUUAUCAACGUCCGUCACUAUUUUUCUCGUAUUCGGACCCAAGGUACUUAGGGUUCUUCGAGGACACGGAGAUCAAUGGGACAGUCGUGCACGUGCUAGAGGCGUAACUGCUAGUUUCUCAUUAAAUGGAAUUGGAUUAGUUCCCGAAGAAACGACUGAUCUUUAUCAAGAAAACGAAGAAUUGAAGGAGGAAAUACAAAAGUUGGCGGCACAAAUAGAAUUCAUGAAAAUCGUACACAUGGAAAUGCACAACAGGCACAUUAAACCUAAACCAGGUGGAUAUUUCAGCGCGCAUGGUCACACUCAUGGUCAUCCUUCGACAGCACAAAGCCCGAUUGCCAAGAGCUCGACUGCCAGUUUUAUUUUAAGACAGAGUGCAGUUGAACGAGGAGCGUCAGCGGCCGCGGCCGCGGCUGUUGAAGAUUCGACCUUCCCGUCCGGUAGUUUGCAUCGUGCACGAAGGAUGGAAAUUCUUCGUGAAAGAAAGGCCGAAAAGGAAAGGGAAAGGGAAAAAGAAAGGGAGAAGAAAAGCGAAAAAGAAAGGGAAAGGGAAAUGGUUGGUACUCAACAACAAGAAGUGGAACAAAGGGAACUACCGCAUUCCAGUUGUGAAAAAGUCUGACUAGUCGUCAACAGCGAGGAGAUAUGGUUGUGACGAAGACAAUACAUCGAUAGGAUUGAAAAAUCUAAGAAGAAAAUAUGUUUUCGUACGUUUCCACGAGGAAGAAAGCUAAGAUGCUGAUAAAACAACCAAUGAAAGAAAUCUUUUCUAAUUGAUUGAAAUCGUUGAAAGUUUUAGAGAUAUAACACCAUAUCAUGCGUGCGAUCUAUUCUUAUCGAAUGGGAACGUUUUAAUAAUCACCUUCUAUGUUCGAAGGUAAACUAGCAAUUAUAGUCGAAUAAAGAGAAAAGAAAAACAA